Molecule: ribosomal RNA, 374 nt
Filed under: uncultured organism
Description: bacterial SSU rRNA
Rfam family: Bacterial small subunit ribosomal RNA
Source: RNAcentral
CGGUAGGGUGCGAGCGUUAAUCGGAAUUACGUGGGCGUAAAGCGUGCGCAGGUCGGUUUUGUAAGACAGAUGUGAAACUCCCCGGGCUCAACCUGGGACCUGCAUUUGUGACUGCAAGGCUAGAGUACGGUAGAGGGGGAUGGAAUUCCGCGUGUAGCAGUGAAAUGCGUAGAUAUGCGGAGGAACACCGAUGGCGAAGGCAAUCCCCUGGACCUGUACUGACGCUCAUGCACGAAAGCGUGGGGAGCAAACAGGAUUAGAUACCCUGGUAGUCCACGCCCUAAACGAUGUCAACUGGUUGUUGGGUCUUUACUGACUCAGUAACGAAGCUAACGCGUGAAGUUGACCGCCUGGGGAGUACGGUCGCAAGGCUG